CAGGUAGUGACAGUAAGAAGAAGGACCUGUUUCACCCUCAGGAGGUUGCAGGCUGCUGAAUUCAGAGCCCAAAGGGGAGAGGAGUGCUGAAUUAUUGCUAUUUGGCAUCUAUGUGCAAGGUGCGCGGGAAGGAAAGGAAAUGAAGAGGCUGAGAAGAAAGCAAGCGAGACGCCCGCGACGUCACUCUGCCUCUGGCAGGAAGGUCUCCGGAGGACCCAGGCGCCAGGGCUCCUGCCGCAGCAGCCCAGUGCCCGGCUGCAAGGUUUCCAUAUCUACGGAGAAGGACCCUGCGGCUGGGCACCUGGGCCUGCACUGCUCUCCUCUGCUCUGUGGGUGCCAAGGACACUGCCAGGGCCACCUGAGCGUCCUUCUCAUUCUGCACAGUGGCUGUGAUGCUGUGGCCAACAGAGGAAUCUCUAUCAUCAUCAUAAACAUCUGGCUUGGGAGAAAGUUUUCAGCAGACAAAGCACAGAACCACAGAUGCCACUUCUAA
RNAcentral lists this long non-coding RNA (493 nucleotides) under Cavia porcellus (domestic guinea pig). Its description in RNAcentral is "lncRNA (ENSCPOG00000037893.1)". The record is from RNAcentral. Lineage: Eukaryota; Metazoa; Chordata; Mammalia; Rodentia; Caviidae.